Molecule: ribosomal RNA, 255 nt
Filed under: uncultured bacterium
Lineage: Bacteria
Description: partial 16S ribosomal RNA
Rfam family: Bacterial small subunit ribosomal RNA
Source: RNAcentral
UACGUAGGGUGCAAGCGUUGUCCGGAAUUACUGGGCGUAAAGGGCGCGUAGGCGGUCAGACCAAGUCGAGUGUGAAAUUCCAGGGCUUAACUCUGGCGCGCUCGCUCGAUACUGGUCGGCUAGAGUGUGGAAGAGGAUGCUGGAAUUCCCGGUGUAGCGGUGAAAUGCGCAGAUAUCAGGAGGAACACCAGUGGCGAAGGCGGUUCUCUGGGCAUUACCUGACGCUGAGGAGCGAAAGUGUGGGGAGCGAACAGG